CCUAUGGUGGAGGAUAACCCCGGGAAACUGGGGAUAAUACUCCAUAAGUCAGGAGUACUGGAAUGUCUCCUAACUGAAAGUUGCGGCGCCAUAGGAUGAAUCUGCGGCCGAUUAGGUAGUUGUUGGGGUAACGGCCCAACAAGCCUGUAAUCGUUACGGGUUGUGGGAGCAAGAGCCCGGAGAUGGAAUCUGAGACACGAUUCCAGGCCCUACGGGGCGCAGCAGGCGCGAAAACUUUACAAUGCAGGAAACUGUGAUAAGGGAACCCCGAGUGCCCGUAAACGCGGGCUGUCCCGGUGUUUAAAACACAUCGGAAGAAAGGGCCGGGCAAGACCGGUGCCAGCCGCCGCGGUAAUACCGGCGGCUCGAGUGGUGACCACUUUUAUUGGGCUUAAAGCGUUCGUAGCUUGAUUUUUAAGUCUCUUGGGAAAUCUCACGGCUUAACUGUGAGGCGUCUAAGAGAUACUGGGAAUCUAGGGACCGGGAGAGGUAGAGGUACUUUCA
This 504-nucleotide ribosomal RNA is filed under the name uncultured methanogenic archaeon. Its description in RNAcentral is "bacterial SSU rRNA". It matches the Rfam family "Archaeal small subunit ribosomal RNA", at positions 113 to 623 of the family's 1478-position model. The record is from RNAcentral. Lineage: Archaea; Methanobacteriati; Methanobacteriota.